RNAcentral lists this non-coding RNA (64 nucleotides) under Eutreptiella gymnastica. The record is from RNAcentral. Lineage: Eukaryota; Euglenozoa; Euglenophyceae; Eutreptiales; Eutreptiaceae.
UUUGUGAGAAAGUCUCCUGGCACCUUCUGUAGAGAGAAUUUUCGCCGCGAAAUUUUCAUUGCUG